Molecule: ribosomal RNA, 407 nt
Filed under: uncultured bacterium
Lineage: Bacteria
Description: partial 16S ribosomal RNA
Rfam family: Bacterial small subunit ribosomal RNA
Source: RNAcentral
AUUGAACGCUGGCGUCAGGCCUAACACAUGCAAGUCGAGCGGAGAGGCUGACGGGUAAGUAAUUCCUAGGAAUCUGCCUGGUAGUGGUGGAUAACGUCCGGAAACGGGCGCUAAUACCGCAUACUAUCAGAUGAGCCUAGGUCGGAUUAGCUAGUUGGUGGUGUAAAGGCCUACCCAGGCGACGAUCCGUCACUGGUCUGAGAGGAGGAUCAGUCAGACUUGAACGGAGAAACGGUCCAGACUCCGACGGGAGGCAGCAGUGGGGAAUAGUGGACAAUGGGCGAAAGCCUGAUCCAGCCAUGCCGCGUGUGUGAAGAAGGUCUUCGGAUUGUAAAGCACUUGAAGUUGGGAGGCGUUACCAACAGAAUAAGCACCGGCUAACUUCGUGCCAGCCGCCGCGGUAAUAC